RNA transcript from Xenopus laevis (African clawed frog), 3293 nucleotides. It is a transcript of the gene named synaptonemal complex protein 2 like L homeolog, with no coding region annotated. The transcript is spliced from 36 exons. The record is from RefSeq and is a predicted model, not a curated record. Lineage: Eukaryota; Metazoa; Chordata; Amphibia; Anura; Pipidae.
AAGGGGUACAUCAUGUUCUGCCGGUGCUGUUUGAAAAUUGUUCAUUUGAUUGUCCUUAAUGAAUGCUUUUCAGAUAUAUUUAAUUUUGUGACUUAUUGAUUUCAUUGACACAUGAAUAUAAGUGAAGGGGUGCACCAGGAGGAAGGAAAUCAGCCAACUGAAAAAGUGGACACUCGUGCCCAGUACCAUUUGGAAACUCUAAUUACUGAUGCCUUUAAAGGGAAAGGGUUUCAGAAAAUCACAGAAUUAUUUGAAGACAAAGUCAUUUUCUCAUCCCAGCUCCAAAACAAGUUAUUUUUAAGCCAACUGGAUAAACUUAUAAAUAAGGAACUGGAUCGAAAUGAAUUCAAACAUGUCUCGUUAUUAAUGAAAUGUAUUCAACACUUCUGCAAAAAUGACUGCCAGGAAAGUCCAACAUUGGUUCAUCAGGGCCUGGUUUCAAAGAUGGUCAUGUGGUUUGAAAGAACUGUUGAUUUUCUGAGAAUUUCUAAAGAAGCAAACCUGCUCAUCCUAGUCGAAGAUUUCUAUGAUACUGCCUUGGUGAUUUGUAAAUGUAACUGUGAGGAUGGGAAAAGGCAGCUGCUCAAUAGUUUUUUAAUCAGACUUGGGCAUCUCGUCACAGAGAAAUGGCUUGCUUGCCAUCUCCGUUUGGAGGCUCUGAGGACUAUAAACUGCAUUUUAGAUUCCAUCUCAAGGGAAGACAAGAAGAAACUGCACUGCUCUGAAGAUGUGUGUGAGCUUACGAAAGAUUUAGCAAGAACAAUACUAGAAGCUGGAGACUAUGAUAUUCAGGUAGCCAUUUCAGAAGCACUGUGCCGGAUGAUGGGGAAGAAAUUUAGGGAGAGCUUUGUUCAUCGAUGGUUUGAAGAUAAUUUUCUUGCUGAAGCCUUUAAAGAAAUUAAGGAUAAAGAAUUUGAAACGGAUUGCAGAAAGUUUUUGAAUUGCUUGAAUUCUAGGCAUCAGAACAACAAAGGGGUUUAUACAUUUCCUUGCAUCACUGUUUUCACUGAUCUGGAUGAGCUGAAAAAACCACAGGACGAAAACUUGGAAGACUUCUGGAUCGAUUUUAAUGCUGGAAGUCAGUGUGUGUCUUUCUACAUCCAUAACACAGAGGGUUCUCUUUGGGAUUCCGUCAGGCUGCUGAAGGAGUCUGUUUACAAUUACACCCUGAAAGAAAAUGAUGGAAAACAAAUGUUGAGCAUAUAUCUAAAAGAUCCUCAGAUUAUUAAUGCCAAAGACAUAACAAAAUUGAAGAUCUACUUUGAGCCCAAGCAUGACAUCCAGAGCGCCAUCCAGAGAGUGUUUGAAGAUAUAAAUGAGAGCCACAGUGACCCUGUGGAAUCAGAUUCAAGGGAAUGUUUAACAGAUAUCGGUGACGGCCUGGCUUCUCAUGCUGUCAUAACAACAGCCACAACGUUUCAGCAGUGGAAGAGGAAUCGAGCAAACAAAAUGGAUUCUUCGUCUGACAUCCUUUGUUCUCUGACCAGUGAGCAUUCCUCGACAACUAAAACGAGCUCUGCAAACCAGUCAAUCCAGAAGACCUGGAGCACUUCUGAUUCUCAUGAAAUUGUUAUAGAAUCUGUUCCGCUUGAGGCAGUUAUAUCUAUCAUUGACAAGCAAACAAAUUCAGAACAAGUCCAAGAUGACGAUAAUGAUGCAAUCCUUCAAGAGACUCUUUCUGAUGUUCCUUCAAAGGAUUCAAAUCAAGAAACCAUAGAAGUAACAGAAGCCAGUCCUGACAAGGAGAUUGCCCCAAAGAAAUCCCAGGAUGUUUUUCAAUUUCAAGGUUAUUCUGACUCCCUUGCAUCUGAUCAGGUGUCCGAAGCGAAAAAGAAAAUCUUGCUACCGGAACAAUCAAUAGAGAGAGAUACACCGGCAUCCAGAAAUAGAGAUUCCAUGAACAGUUCUCUUCGGAGACCGUCUUCUGCAUACAGAAGUCAUCUUUUCUCUGAAAGUAAUGGAACUGCUAGCAACACAGAAAGCGAGAGGAGUUGGAUCCUAGAUUUUAAAAACAAAGCACCAGUGAAAUCUGCAGACUACAGCCGUAAAAAGCCUAAAAUUAAAAGUAAACUCAAAGUGUUGCCAUUAUCUUCAGAAUCUGGUGAUGAUGAAAAACAGAUGGAGACUACGGAAACGGUCUCCAGAUUUAUGACUCGUAAAGAAAUGCAAAGGCUAGAGGACGGCAAUCCAAAAAGUCCUCCUUCAGCUGCACUUAAACUCCCUGGUAUUUCAGCUCUCCUAACUCCAGGAGAUUCUCGUUCCCAAAGUAAAAACUUUCGGUAUCUGUCUGAAAUUGAUGAUCAGGAUAUUAUGGACCCAAUAGAAGAAGCUUCUUCUCCAAACAUUUCUAAGACAGUAGACCGUAAUAAGGAACCUAAAAAUGGUUCUGAUGGACCUUUAAACAGAACAGUUGAUGGCAACAAGGAAUAUCAUACAGCUGAUACACUGCAACAUGCAACUGGGAAACGGAAACAUUAUAAAACCUGCGAGAGGGAGGAAAUUCCUUUUAAGCCACGAAAACUUUUUAGUUCAACUGAGAAGAAUAUGAUUAGACCAGCUGCUGAUUCUGAAGAUUCAGAUGAUGUGUUUUACUCUGAAUCCCAUGAUCAAGAUCUUGGAGAAGCAAGUGUUGUCUCUGCAUUUGACAGCUUCACCAAGGAUCUAAAAAGAACAUUUUUGACAAGGUAUAAAAAGAUUGAAAACAGGGCAAACCAUGUGCUGAAUACCUCUCACCAGCAGAUUUCCACUGUAUUACAUGAAAUACAUCAGUGCAGAUUACGCAAAAUCAAUCACUUUCAUAAGAUAGUUGUACAUGAACUUUCUAACCUUGAGGCUGAGGUACAAGCACUGAAACAACUUGAGAAAGAGACACUGGAUUUCUGGGAGGAUCAGCAUGUAAAAAUGGAUACAUUUUGCAGCAGUCAGAAGCAAAGAGUUACAUGGCUAAGUCUUGACUGAAACUUGACUGAAACUGGUGUAAAUGAUGCAUUCAGCAACAAUUGCCUAUUUUCCAGGAUUAAAACCAUGGAUUCUGCAAUUUUGGAGACGAUAGGCAACCUGAAAAACGUAAUUCAGAAAACCACGAAGGAAGACAUUUCUAAUACUGAAGAACAUAUCCAGAACAAAUUGUUGAAAUAAAACAAGCCAAAUUUAUGUGCUUUUUGCAAUUUCCAGUCCAGCUCAUAUCAAUGUUAAAAUAGUUUCUUCUUUAUUUUUGUUUUGUAAAAAUUCUAACAGUUGGUUGGUAUGAAUUUCUGUUAAGUGGGCAACACUUUACCUUAGAAUAAAAAUCA